RNAcentral lists this ribosomal RNA (515 nucleotides) under uncultured bacterium. RNAcentral describes it as "partial 16S ribosomal RNA". It matches the Rfam family "Bacterial small subunit ribosomal RNA", at positions 28 to 523 of the family's 1533-position model. The record is from RNAcentral.
GACGAACGCUGGCGGCGUGCCUAAUACAUGCAAGUCGAGCGGACGUUUUUGAAGCUUGCUUCAAAAACGUUAGCGGCGGACGGGUGAGUAACACGUGGGCAACCUACCUUAUCGACUGGGAUAACUCCGGGAAACCGGGGCUAAUACCGGAUAACAUCUAGCACCUCCUGGUGCCGGAUUAAAAGAGGGCUUCUUGCUCUCACGAUGAGAUGGGCCCGCGGCGCAUUAGCUAGUUGGAGAGGUAACGGCUCCCCAAGGCGACGAUGCGUAGCCGAACUGGGAGGGUGAUCGGCCACACUGGGACUGAGAAACGGCCCAGAAUCCUACGGGAGGCAGCAGUAGGGAAUAUUCCGCAAUGGACGAAAGUCUGACGGAGCAACGCCGCGUGAGUGAUGAAGGGUUUCGGCUCGUAAAGCUCUGUUAUGAGGGAAGAACAAGUAUGAGAGUAACUGCUCGUACCUUGACGGUACCUAACCAGAAAGCCACGGCUAACUACGUGCCAGCAGCCGCCGUAA